GAUCCCUUUGGCAUCACACAUAUUAAUUGGAAUGAUACAGAGAAAAUUAGCAUGGCUCCUGCAUAAGGAUGACACACAAAUUCAUGAAGCAUUAAAAAAAAAGAAUUUU
This is a non-coding RNA of Mesocricetus auratus (golden hamster), 109 nucleotides long. The record is from Rfam. NCBI's taxonomy places the organism in Eukaryota, Metazoa, Chordata, Mammalia, Rodentia, Cricetidae.